Molecule: microRNA, 22 nt
Filed under: Homo sapiens (human)
Lineage: Eukaryota; Metazoa; Chordata; Mammalia; Primates; Hominidae
Description: hsa-miR-6764-5p
Source: miRBase by way of RNAcentral
UCCCAGGGUCUGGUCAGAGUUG